RNAcentral lists this ribosomal RNA (253 nucleotides) under uncultured bacterium. RNAcentral's name for it is "partial 16S ribosomal RNA". It matches the Rfam family "Bacterial small subunit ribosomal RNA", at positions 524 to 776 of the family's 1533-position model. The record is from RNAcentral.
UACGUAGGGGGCAAGCGUUGUCCGGAAUCAUUGGGCGUAAAGCGCGUGUAGGCGGCCAGAAAAGUCCGCUGUGAAAACUCGAGGCUCAACUUCGAGCUGUCGGUGGAAACUUUCUGGCUAGAGUCCGGAAGAGGAGAAUGGAAUUCCUGGUGUAGCGGUGAAAUGCGCAGAUAUCAGGAAGAACACCCGUGGCUAAGGCGGUUCUCUGGGACGGUACUGACGCUGAGACGCGAAAGCGUGGGGAGCGAACAGG